Long non-coding RNA from Mytilus trossulus (common blue mussel), 599 nucleotides. RefSeq lists it as uncharacterized. NCBI's taxonomy places the organism in Eukaryota, Metazoa, Mollusca, Bivalvia, Mytilida, Mytilidae. The transcript is spliced from 3 exons. The record is from RefSeq and is a predicted model, not a curated record.
CAUUCUGAAAGGACACAAACACUAGAUACUUUCACCCAUACACAGUUAUUUCAAGCAUGAAAAGUCUCAUAGUUUUCAUAUAUAUCUCCGUCUUUAUUUCACUUUCAAGUUGCUAUUAUCCACAACACGGUGGAUUUGGCGGUGGCGGAUUUAAUCAAUUUGGCGGUGGAUUUGGACAAUUUGGCGGUGGAUUUGGACAAUUUGGUGGUGGCGGAUUUGGCGGUCAAUUCGGUGGUGGAAUUUCUCCAUUCCACGACGGAUAUUACGAUGAUGCAGAUCAUGUACAUGUACAUUAUCACGAGAAUUCUGGAGGAUUUGGAAACAACUUCCUUGGUGGUAUCAAUCAACGAGACCUAGUAUCAGGCGGGCUUGGAUUGCUAAUUGGUGGAGCACUCCAGAGACGAAGGUCCACAACAGGCUGAAGGAACAGAUAAUUAACAACAGAAGAGGUUGUCCAGGUCACAGUUUUUACAGCACCAAACAGCUAUGAUACAUCAUAGAAAUAAAAACAACACCUGUAUAAAACCUUGUGUUCUGGUUUUUAUCAUGCAGUUAGUAACAAUGGUCCCAAAAAUGAGUAAUAAAAGAAAUAAAUCCAC